UAUGUGAUCGUCUCUCGCAUAUCAAUAAGCGGAGGAAAAGAAACUAACAAGGAUUCCCCUAGUAACGGCGAGUGAAGCGGGAAGAGCUCAAAUUUGAAAUCUUAAAGGGUUUCCCUUUACGAAUUGUAGUUUAAAGAAGUGUUUUCUGUUGAGGUUUUGGUAAAAGUUCUUUGGAAUAGGACAUCAUAGAGGGUGAGAAUCCCGUAUUUGACCUUUACUUUCAACUUUGUGAUACACUUUCAAAGAGUCGGAUUGUUUGGGAAUGCAGUCCAAAAUGGGUGGUAAAUUUCAUCUAAAGCUAAAUAUUGGCGAGAGACCGAUAGCGAACAAGCACCGUGAGGGAAAGAUGAAAAGAACUUUGAAAAGAGAGUUAAACAGUACGUGAAAUUGUCAAAAGGGAAGCGUUUGACACCAGUGUUGUUUUUCUGAAAAUCAAUUAAAGAACUGUUUAUGCUAAGUUGUUUAGACUUUAUCAGCUAACUGUUUAGUUUUGAGCUUUUCUUUAAUGCACCUUUCAGUUAACAAGUCAACAUCAAUUUCUUUUGCUGUAAAAAAGCUUGAGGAAGGUGGCUUGAGAUUCGUCUUAAGUGUUUAUAGCCUCUUGCCUAUGCAGUCGGAGAGAUUGAGGUCUGCAGCGUAGAUCCUUCGGGGCUAAAUGCAUUUGUGCUAAGUUAUAGCAUUUUAUAGACAACUUGUUGACUAUGAUUUGUCUUGUAGCUUACUCGCUUAUGUUAUUUUACCUACGCUUAGGAUGUUGACACACGCGCGUGCUCG
Molecule: ribosomal RNA, 774 nt
Filed under: uncultured Neocallimastigales
Lineage: Eukaryota; Fungi; Neocallimastigomycota; Neocallimastigomycetes; Neocallimastigales
Description: partial large subunit ribosomal RNA
Rfam family: Eukaryotic large subunit ribosomal RNA
Source: RNAcentral